Molecule: non-coding RNA, 206 nt
Organism: Oryza glumipatula
Lineage: Eukaryota; Viridiplantae; Streptophyta; Magnoliopsida; Poales; Poaceae
Source: Rfam
AAAAAAAGCAAACACUGAGUUUUCGUGUCCAACUUUGACUGUCCGUCUUAUAUGAAAUUUUUUUAUAAUUCGUAUUUUUAUUGUUGUUAGAUGAUAAAACAUGAUUAAUAUUUUAUGCGUGACUUGUCUUUUUAAUUUUUUUCAUAAUUUUUUUAAAUAAGACGGACGGUUAAAUGUUAGGCACGGAAACCAGGGUUUGUCUUUUU